Molecule: long non-coding RNA, 778 nt
Filed under: Brassica napus (rape)
Lineage: Eukaryota; Viridiplantae; Streptophyta; Magnoliopsida; Brassicales; Brassicaceae
Description: long non-coding RNA (BNAP_LNC015551)
Source: RNAcentral
CCAUGAAACACAAAGAAGCGAUCCAGAGACCGUUAUGACUGAAUAUCUUCCAACCUAGACCAGUUAUCCAGGAUCUCCUCUGUGAUAAGAAGAGAUCACAACAACAUUAGGAGAUGAGUAGAGAAAACACAUAAAAUUCAAUACUUUGGGAAUCAAAAUAUAAGUAUAGAGGAGUAUACUGAAUAGAGAUCCAUCUUUCGUCCUAAGACACAUAUGGGAACAUAUCCAUCCGAGGACCAACAGUCUUUGAGUUUUAUUCUCCUUUACCAUCGCUAUCUCGAGUUCCAUCAGCUAGACGAACUAAAUGAUUGUUAAAUUUCGUUAACAAACCAGCAAAUUUUUUAUUUUUAAGGAAGCAAAGAGAUGUUAACUUUUCAAGAACAAAGAGAAGAAAGCUUACGCACGUUCACAUCUACCGAGCUGAUUAACCGCAUCAACGAACGAACGCCUCGUCAAGUUUUAGUAUCCAAAGCAUGCGAUGUUAAAUGUUACUUACACUGAGAUCCUCUUUCGAUGUGAUGAUUAAUUAACAUACUGAACCUGUGUACAAAUACAGAAAACAUAUACACUAAAGAAACGGAACCUGUGAGUUUGGACUUGUGGACUUGGAUCGACAUUGGCUUAUAUAGAAUAAGAGAGUGGAUUCAUAUCGUCGGUUUGUAUGUUUUGAAGGAGUUAUAAUGGCUGAAUUGAUGAAAGAGGGUGAAGAAACGAUUCAUAAUCGCCGAUUGAAUUGUAGGUUUUUUUCUUUUCGUUGGAUGACAUGGAUUUUAAAGCU